CGCACGGGUGAGUAACGCGUAAGUAAUCUACCCUGGCAUCUGGGAUAACCCACCGAAAGGUGAGCUAAUACCUGAUACGUUGAUUUAUCAAGAAAGGUGGCCUCUAUUUAUAAGCUACUGUGCUGGGAGGAGCUUGCGUACCAUUAGCUAGUUGGUAGGGUAAAGGCCUACCAAGGCGACGAUGGUUAGCGGGUCUGAGAGGAUGAUCCGCCACACUGGAACUGGAACACGGACCAG
RNAcentral lists this ribosomal RNA (237 nucleotides) under uncultured bacterium. RNAcentral's name for it is "partial 16S ribosomal RNA". It matches the Rfam family "Bacterial small subunit ribosomal RNA", at positions 99 to 334 of the family's 1533-position model. The record is from RNAcentral.